Molecule: long non-coding RNA, 1096 nt
Filed under: Papio anubis (olive baboon)
Lineage: Eukaryota; Metazoa; Chordata; Mammalia; Primates; Cercopithecidae
Description: lncRNA (ENSPANG00000037371.1)
Source: RNAcentral
UCUUAACACUUUGUAAUAACACUCAUUUAUUCUCCCUUGCCUCAUCAGAACCUCACAAUAGUCAUUAGAAUAAACCCAAACUUCCUAUCAUAUGUCCUGUUAAUGACUCCCCAGCUUCCUCUGACUCUCAACCACAGAUAAGAAGCCAUACCAAAUUGUUUGCUAAGUAUUCUAUUCCAUGUUUUGGUAAAGUCCUUAUUCCACUCUUUUAUCUAGCUAACGCCUACCCAUAUUUCAUGAAAUAUUUUAAAUCUUAUCUCCUUAAAAAAUCAACCCAGACACCAUAUGCAGAUAGCCCAACCUCCCCAUCUUCAUUACUUUCAUUGUACCCUGUGUAUGCCUCCAUAGUUACGUAUUGUACUGUUUUGCUGUGGUCUGUAUUUUGGCACUAGACUCAUCUUCCAGUAAUGAACCAUGUUUUUAAUUAAUGUAUUCUUCAGUAUUUAUAACAGUGCUAGAUAUUAGUCACUAAUGUCAAGUUAGAAGAAAAGAAUGGAGAAGGAGAGAGAGAAACAAAGGAAGGGAAGGAAGGAGGAACAGAGGGAGGAAUCAACAUAUAUGUUACUAUGCCAGACCAGCAUCCAUCCAUCCAUCCAUCCAUCCAUCCAUCCAUCCAUCCAUUCAUAUAUUUACCAGGUUUGCUUUUCUUUCUUCUUUCAUUAAACAGCAUUUAUUGGACCCUGCUGUCUGCCAGAUGGCAACUCAAUAUUAGGAAUACUGAAAUAAAUAACAUAUGGUCUCCAAGAAACUGAAAGUGUGUCUAAAAGAAAGAAAGAAAGAGAAAAUCUAAAACAUCUUAGUAAAAUCAUACAGAGGACUAUGGAGAAAGAGCUAUGGCUUGGGCUAAUGAGGUUUGUGCACAAUCUUCAAUUUCUACCCUCUAGACUAACUUUUGCAGACCACUUUGGGUAUCUAGUACAGCCAAUAAGCCCCCUCCUCCAUAGUGAUACAUUGUGAUAGAAGUUAUCGCAACCAUUAAAAACUGCUGUCUCUCUGUGUGUCAGCAGAUCUCCGUUUUUUCUUUCAAGAAUAGUCCAUAAUAAUGUCAUAAGAAAAUACAUUCCAAAGAAUCCUUGGAUUAGACAAGCACCAGAGA